RNAcentral lists this ribosomal RNA (309 nucleotides) under Triticum aestivum (bread wheat). Its description in RNAcentral is "partial small subunit ribosomal RNA". The record is from RNAcentral. Lineage: Eukaryota; Viridiplantae; Streptophyta; Magnoliopsida; Poales; Poaceae.
AUGGUGUUUGGGUUAAAUGCACCUUCUCGAAACAGUCAUGGAAUCACUUCUUGUAGCAAGAGUUUUUGUUUUUUUGCUGAAGCACUUAUUGCUAUUCUAACUGACUUAACUCUUUGGCAUGGGCCAAAUAGAUGGAAACUGUAUUUUCUCUGUUGCAAGGGUACAUACAUCAGCUUAACUUCUGCCAGCACUCACCUCCAGAUAUAUGACAUUCCUGAUGUACAUACCAGAGAUUUUAAUAUUUAUUUGCUAUAUCAGAAGCUUGAUAGUUAUUCCUAUUUAUGCCAAAUAUACUGUUGUACUGUCUAG